This 403-nucleotide ribosomal RNA is filed under the name Verrucomicrobiota bacterium. Its description in RNAcentral is "Verrucomicrobia bacterium partial 16S ribosomal RNA". It matches the Rfam family "Bacterial small subunit ribosomal RNA", at positions 355 to 776 of the family's 1533-position model. Lineage: Bacteria; Pseudomonadati; Verrucomicrobiota. The record is from RNAcentral.
UGGGGUAUAUUGCACAAUGGAGGGAACUCUGAUGCAGCGACGCCGCGUGAACGAAGAAGGCUUUCGAGUCGUAAAGUUCUUUUAUAUGGGAAGAUAAUGACGGUACCAUAAGAAAAAGCCCCGGCUAACUACGUGCCAGCAGCCGCGGUAAUACGUAGGGGGCUAGCGUUGUCCGGAAUCACUGUGCGUAAAGGGUUCGCAGGCGGAAAUGCAAGUCAGGUGUAAAAGGCAGUAGCUUAACUACUGUAAGCAUUUGAAACUGCAUAUCUUGAGAAGAGUAGAGGUAAGUGGAAUUUUUAGUGUAGCGGUGAAAUGCGUAGAUAUUAAAAAGAAUACCGGUGGCGAAGGCGACUUACUGGGCUCAUUCUGACGCUGAGGAACGAAAGCGUGGGUAGCAAACAGG